AUUAUCUUCUUUUUGAAGUUUGUUGUAUAGACAUGCAUUAUGUCAUGGAAAGCAGGGAUGGCUUUUUUAAACAUUUUAAUAUAUUACGAAUAAAAAAAUUAUGUGUUGAAAAUUUAAAAAUAAAAAAAUAUUGUUUUUAAAAAACGACAUAGUUAAUCAUUUCCAAUGACCCGUAUGUAAAUUCCCUAAUGAGGAAGUAAAUUUUCCUUCCUUCUUAAGUUGGAAGUACAAACUGAUUUUGCUGUUUACACAGUACAGGAUAUUCCAGUAAAAAGCGAAAAUGUUACCGAACGUACUAGUCUGGAGACGUAUUUUAACAAAUUGAGGUGCUUUAAACUUAACAGUUGACACUCAAUUUCAAAACGCGGCUCUUCAUUUCACGAGACGCCGAACUGCAACAGCGACGCCAAACAGGGAUACGUGAGAUGUUUUGGCAAGGCUGGAGGACUUGAAGAAGUGCAAGGCUGCUGCGCAGAAGGGGAUGCUCGCGGAGCUACUGCCACAGUCACUUCAGCCAGGGCGACAGCAAGGAACUUGUCAAAGCAGCAGUUUGAAAAGGUGUUUGAUAUGCUGAAGUACAGGUAAAAUCCCCCCAGUCACUCUGAGCAAACAGCAGCUAUUUUUGAGCCAUGUGAUAGUGCUUAAAGCUGGAAACACAGUGGCUCACUUCAUGUGACUUUCUAAUUAGAGUCUUUAUGUUAAGACUGAUGUCAGGAAAGCAAAGUGUUUGUGACGUAUGGUGAAUUUAUUUUUAUUUUAUUUUUAAAUGUAAACAGAAAGCAAAACUCUCUAUACUUAGAUAGAUGCUACACUAAAUAGAUAUAUUUACACUAAAUACAGCAAAAAAGAAAAACAUUCUUUACAUAGCCAAGUCAGAAACAUAGUACAUAGUACAGUGAUAAAUGUUCACUGAACUGUCAAAAUGAACCAAAAACAUAGAAACCCAUUUAGGUGAGCGGGUUUGAUCAUUACUUUAGCUUGGACAUUAAAGGAAUAGUUCACUCAAAGCCAUCCAAGAUGUAGAUGAGUUUGAGUAUUGCAUCUGAACCGAUUUGAAGAAAUUUAGCAUCACUUUCUCAACAAUGUAUCCUCUGCAGUGAACGGCUGCCUUCAGAGUCCAAACAACUGAUAAAAACCCCACAAUAAUCCAGAGGUAGUCC
This is a long non-coding RNA of Cyprinus carpio (common carp), 1160 nucleotides long. Lineage: Eukaryota; Metazoa; Chordata; Actinopteri; Cypriniformes; Cyprinidae. The record is from Ensembl.